CUUAGGCGCUUGAGAACGAUGUUGAAGGAACUCGGCAAAUUACAUGCGUAACUUCGGGAUAAGCAUGCCCCAUCGGAAGGCAACUUCUGGUGGGGGGCACAAACUAGGGGGUAGCGACUGUUUACCAAAAACACAGGGCUCUACGAAAACGUAAGUUGACGUAUGGGGUCUGACGCCUGCCCGGUGCCGGAAGAUUAAGAGGAGAUGUUAACGCAUUGAAUUGAAGUCCCGGUAAACGGCGGCCGUAACGAUAACGGUCCUAAGGUAGCGAAAUUCCUUGUCGGGUAAGUUCCGACCUGCACGAAUGGCGUAACGACUUCCCCACUGUCUCCAACAUCGACUCAGUGAAAUUGGAUUCCCCGUGAAGAUACGGGGUUCCCGCGGUCAGACGGAAAGACCCUAUGAACCUUUACUAUAACUUUGCAGUGGCAUCACGAUUGUCGUGUGUAGGAUAGGUGGGAGACUUUGAAGCGGGAGCGCUAGCUUUCGUGGAGUCAACGUUGAAAUACCACCCUCGACCUUCUUGAUGUCUAACCAAGCUCCAUUAUCUGGAGCUGGGACCCUGCAUGGCGGGUAGUUUGACUGGGGCGGUCGCCUCCCAAAGUGUAACGGAGGCGCGCGAUGGUAAGCUCAAGACGGUUGGAAAUCGUCUUCAAGAGUGCAAAGGCAUAAGCUUGCCUGACUGCGAGACUGACAAGUCGAGCAGAGACGAAAGUCGGUCAUAGUGAUCCGGUGGUUCCGAAUGGAAGGGCCAUCGCUCAACGGAUAAAAGGUACUCUAGGGAUAACAGGCUGAUAGCGCCCAAGCGUCCCCAGCGACGGCGCUGUUUGGCACCUCGAUGUCGGCUCAUCUCAUCCUGGGGCUGGAGCAGGUCCCAAGGGUAUGGCUGUUCGCCAUUUAAAGAGGUACGUGAGCUGGGUUCAAAACGUCGUGAGACAGUUUGGUCCCUAUCUGCCGUGGGUGUAGGAUAUUUGAGAGGAGCUGUCCUUAGUACGAGAGGACCGGGAUGGUCAUACCUCUGGUGUACCAGUUGUUCCGCCAGGAGCAGCGCUGGGUAGCUAUGUAUGGACGGGAUAAACGCUGAAAGCAUCUAAGCGUGAAGCCUCCCUCAAAACAAGAUAUCCCUAUCAGAGCCGUGGAAGACACCACGUUGAUAGGCUGGAUGUGGAAGGGUAGUAAUACCUGUAGCUAACCAGUACUAAUUGCUCGAA
RNAcentral lists this ribosomal RNA (1211 nucleotides) under metagenome. Its description in RNAcentral is "bacterial LSU rRNA". It matches the Rfam family "Bacterial large subunit ribosomal RNA", at positions 1681 to 2913 of the family's 2925-position model. The record is from RNAcentral.